This 449-nucleotide ribosomal RNA is filed under the name uncultured bacterium. RNAcentral describes it as "bacterial SSU rRNA". It matches the Rfam family "Bacterial small subunit ribosomal RNA", at positions 355 to 825 of the family's 1533-position model. The record is from RNAcentral.
UGGGGAAUCUUGGACAAUGGGCGCAAGCCUGAUCCAGCCAUGCCGCGUGGAUGAUGAAGGCCUUAGGGUUGUAAAAUCCUUUCGUGGGGGACGAUAAUGACGGUACCCCAAGAAGAAGCUCCGGCUAACUUCGUGCCAGCAGCCGCGGUAAUACGAAGGGGGCUAGCGUUGUUCGGAUUUACUGGGCGUAAAGCGCGUGUAGGCGGGUCGUUAAGGUUGGGGGUGAAAUCCCGAGGCUCAACCUCGGAACUGCCUUUGAUACUGGCAAUCUAGAGUCCGGAAGAGGUUAGUGGAAUUCCCAGUGUAGAGGUGAAAUUCGUAGAUAUUCGCAGGAACACCAGUGGCGAAGGCGACUUGCUGGACUUAUGGUGACGCUGAGACGCGAAAGCGUGGGGAGCAAAACAGGAUUAGAUACCCCCGUAGUCCCUGAGCGGGCUGGCAAGGCGCAU